Non-coding RNA from Granulicella tundricola MP5ACTX9, 354 nucleotides. It matches the Rfam family "transfer-messenger RNA". Rfam says of the family: Bacterial tmRNA, also known as 10Sa RNA or SsrA, is named for its dual tRNA and mRNA-like properties. Its role is to liberate the mRNA from a stalled ribosome. To accomplish this part of the tmRNA is used as a reading frame that ends in a translation stop signal. NCBI's taxonomy places the organism in Bacteria, Pseudomonadati, Acidobacteriota, Terriglobia, Terriglobales, Acidobacteriaceae. The record is from Rfam.
GGGGGCGUCACGGCUUCGACGGGAUUGCUUGCGGCAGAGAGGCAUGCCGGGGUGUGGACACCCGUAAUCGCUCACAAAACUAUAAGUGCCGAACCUCAGUUCGCUCUUGCUGCUUAAUUAAUUAAGUGGCCGAUGUCCUCCGCUUCGCCUAUGGGCGGAGAGCCAUCGUCGCACAGUAGGCUGGUCCCAACUGCUCCGCCUGAGCGGACGGGACGAGAUCGAUCAGGCUGGUCGUCAACGUUUCUUCGCCCGUUCCUAGCGUCGAUGACGAGACAAAGAUGAACGUGGAAAAGCAUGAAAGCUCUCUGUUGACUGUAGUUUCGGACGUGGGUUCGACUCCCACCGCCUCCACCA